GGAGCCUGAGAAACGGCUACCACAUCCAAGGAUGGCAGCAGGCGCGCAAAUUACCCAAUCCCGACACGGGGAGGUAGUGACAAUAAAUAACAAUACGGGGUUCUUUAGGAUCUCGUAAUUGGAAUGAGUACAAUUUAAAUCUCUUAACGAGGAACAAUUGGAGGGCAAGUCUGGUGCCAGCAGCCGCGGUAAUUCCAGCUCCAAUAGCGUAUAUUAAAGUUGUUGCAGUUAAAAAGCUCGUAGUUGAAUUUCGGGAUCAAUUUAUUGGUCGUGCUAUUGUACGUACUGGUAUUAUUGAUUCCUACCUUCUGACGAACCAUGAUGUCAUUAAUUUGGUGUCAUGGGGAAUCAGGACUGUUACUUUGAAAAAAUUAGAGUGUUUAAAGCAGGCUCACGCUUGAAUACAUUAGCAUGGAAUAACGAAAUAGGACGUUUGAUUCUAUUUUGUUGGUUUCUAGGAUCGACGUAAUGAUUAAUAGGGAUAGUUGGGGGCAUUAGUAUUCAAUUGUCAGAGGUGAAAUUCUUGGAUUUAUUGAAGACUAACUACUGCGAAAGCAUUUGCCAAGGAUGUUUUCAUUAAUCAAGAACGAAAGUUAGGGGGUCGAAGACGAUCAGAUACCGUCGUAGUCUUAACCAUAAACUAUGCCGACUAGGGAUCGGAUGAUGUUAAUUUUUUAAUGACUCAUUCGGCGCCUUACGG
This 700-nucleotide ribosomal RNA is filed under the name uncultured Glomus. RNAcentral's name for it is "SSU rRNA". It matches the Rfam family "Eukaryotic small subunit ribosomal RNA", at positions 391 to 1093 of the family's 1831-position model. The record is from RNAcentral. Lineage: Eukaryota; Fungi; Glomeromycota; Glomeromycetes; Glomerales; Glomeraceae.